RNAcentral lists this long non-coding RNA (1093 nucleotides) under Parus major (Great Tit). RNAcentral's name for it is "lncRNA (ENSPMJG00000008461.1)". The record is from RNAcentral. Lineage: Eukaryota; Metazoa; Chordata; Aves; Passeriformes; Paridae.
CACCAUAUUUCCACCCACAGUCACCACCUGUUUUGGCUAGGGGAGGCAGAGCAGAUGCUGUUGCUGGUUUCAGAAUCUACCCUGCUUGGUACAUUUUAUUGUGCUCUUUACCUAGAACACUGCAACUUGAUCUUGACAGAAAAUUAUCAAAAAUCACAGCAGAGUGUGGGACAGAUUUCUGAUGUGAUACUUAAUAGCAUUAAGCACCAGAGAUUCUCUGAUGAAGCCAAUGUCCAUUAAGAUACUUCUUUAGACACCCCAAUCCUAGCCUUGGCUUGCACUCACUUUAGCUCCAGGCACAGCUGAGCAACCGCAGAACAACAUCUGACAUCUGCAAGAAUGUAGUAUGGCUAUGUACUCUCCAAAGUGAUUUUUUUUUAUAUGCAAGAGAACUUAACUUGUUCCCUAUCUGGCUGAGACAAAUCUGGAAGAUUUAUCUGGCUUGAAGAACCAGUCUCACAUAACCAGUUUUAACUAGGUAAUAGUCAAAUAGGGAUACACUGUCUUCCCACAGGGACAAGGGGAGAGGAAUAGGGUUGGAGGAAAGGAGCUAAAGGAUCUUUAUUACCCUCUAUCUUCAUUAGUACAUACUUGUAUCAUGUAACCAGUAGUACAGUGAGUAGUAGCACAGGCCUGCAUUUAUGUUCUGGCUCCCCAAAUCUGCAGGUUGAAAGCACUGUGUAAGAGAUUAUUUAGUAGUGAUGCAGAGAAGCAGCAUGAAAAGUUAAAUUAAACUGGGAAGGGGAAAACAUAAGCUGAAUGUUGGCACAAAGCUUCCUGCCGCUCUGACAUAAGAGACCCUAGAAGGAUUGCUUCUCGAGGAAUCAAUGGCACAGAGCAGAAGAGCUGCCAGGAGUGGCCACCAAACCGGGCCAAGGGUGGCCCAAGGGCGGUCAGUCGCAUGUUGUCCAUCACCUCCGAUGGACUUCAGGGAAGACUCGGGAGCACUAUUAAUUCUUAGAGGAGCUGUGCAAAAACCGCGCUUAAGCUUUGUAAGUAUAAAAGACAAAAGUAGUUUAAUGUCUCCUUUCCCAAUCUUGUUCUCAGCUUAAAUUAAUUACAUUCAUAAAGUAUUAUUAAAAACUAAUCUGGG